Prolemur simus (greater bamboo lemur) is the source of this 104-nucleotide small nuclear RNA. NCBI's taxonomy places the organism in Eukaryota, Metazoa, Chordata, Mammalia, Primates, Lemuridae. The record is from Ensembl.
GUGCUCACUUCAGCAGCACAUACACUAAAAUUGGUAUGAUAGAGAAGUUAGCGUGUCCCCUGUGCAAGGAUGACAUGCAAAUUUAUGAAACAUUUCAUAUUUUU